RNAcentral lists this long non-coding RNA (1815 nucleotides) under Ictidomys tridecemlineatus (thirteen-lined ground squirrel). Its description in RNAcentral is "lncRNA (ENSSTOG00000029806.1)". Lineage: Eukaryota; Metazoa; Chordata; Mammalia; Rodentia; Sciuridae. The record is from RNAcentral.
CCUGAAGGUCAUUUCUUGUCCCUGGUCUCUUCUCUCUGUUUCCCAGUUGCUGUGAGCUGAGCUACUCUCCUCCGUCACACCCUCUGCCAUGAUGUUCUGCCUCCUCUCGGGCCCAAAGCAAUGGAGCCAGCCAACCAUGGACUCCGAAACCAUGAACCAGAAUAAAUAUUUCCUCCUCGAAGCUGAUUUUCCCAGGUAUUUUGUUACAGCGAUGAAAAGCUGACUAACAAGGGGCCAGGGGAGGAAGGAGGAAGGGAGGAGAGAAGAAAGGAAGAAAAAGAGUGAAAGAGAGAAACAGAACCUGAUGGAAAAGCUGCUCCCUGUGUAGUCAUUCUUUUGGCUUUGGACUGCAACAGGAGAUCAUUUGUCCAUCACCUUAGAAAGCCUUUCUUCUCCUCUUCUCAGAUUACCAAAGGAGGUGACCUUCAAACUGGGGGUUCGAAGCCAUUCCCUACCACGGGGAUACCAUUUCCUACUUUUAGACAUGCCUUAGUAAAUAUUUGUCUAUUGAUUGAUUAUGUCUACGUUGCCCAUCAAACCAUAUCCACCCCAGGAUGUGUGAUGCAUAACUAAUGGAUUCCCACCGCCAUCUGGCAGGCUGCGUGAGUUCACAGCUCAUGUUACAGCAGAAGCAAGACCACGGCCAAACUGAAAGCAAAAGUGGGCUACAGCACCGUCUUACCUGACCAGAGAAAGUCCCCGUCGGGCCACCUCAGUCCUCUCUUCCUUUAGCAGUUAGCCCUGUCUGCAGUUUUUCAGACAGGGCCCUUUACCUGCCCUGGCAGAGGUAAAUCCUAAUUUCCAAACUGUUCAGUUACCAAAGAAGAGUGAGCUUAUUUGUAGUGUUCCCAAGCUUUCUUUAGUUUGAAUCAUCCUUUCAUCACUAAUUAUUAUAACACAAUUGAAUGUUAUUUGGACGAUGGAUUCUGAGGACUUCACUACUCAGGAGAAGAUGCUCAAGUAUAUUCUCUAAAACUCAAAAUUUUAUGUUUCAUAAUUAUAGGAAAAUAUCUUGAUUAACCUGCUUGAAACUCUCGUUCCUAUCAUUAGCUCUUCACCUUGAGAUGGGUCACUAGAUACUUCUAAGUAAUACUGGAGCCAAUGAGGAUGCUGGCGGUCACAAUUACUUUCAGGGUAAUUUAUGGUCUUAAUAAUUCUUCUGUGAAACAUUUGUUCCCUUAAGAAGUACUUACUGCCAUGUCUUUUUCACAUUAUCCCACUCCCAGGUUGGAAAUUUUCUCUGCAUCAUAUUCACAUAUGCAAGUCUGUAAUAUAUUAGCCAUUCCUGUGAUUGUAAGUCACGGCGAGCCAACUCAGAUUGGUUUAGAAUAACAAUUCUAUUUCAUUGAUUUUAAAAUCUGCGUUACAGGGCUGGGGUUGUAGCUCAGCGAUAGAGCACUUAACCUCGCAAGUGAGGCGCUGGGUUCGAUCCUAGCACCACAUAAAAACAAAUAAAGGCAUUGAGUCCAUACACAACUAAAAAAAUAGAUAGAUGAUAGAUAGAUAGAUAGAUCUGCAUUGCAUUUCUUUUCAAUAUCGCUGACAUAAAAUGUGCCUAACAACUGGUGUCACAUCCCAGUUUCACUGCAAGUGUAUUUUACAUAAACACAUACGUAACAUGAUGGUGCUUUUUUAAACUGAUGGUGUCUGAGACACCGUUUACAGCAGGUUGUGAGAAGCCUGUAAUAAGGGCGGGUCUCAGGGGUUAUUGAACGAGGAGCUCAGACACCACUGGAACUCUGACUAUGACCUUGGCUUCCCUCUUUGGUUGGCUUUAUUUCUUUUCAAUGCAGACUGGCUUCCUCUAAGUGGCAA